This 97-nucleotide transfer RNA is filed under the name Xylariaceae sp. FL1019. RNAcentral's name for it is "tRNA-His". It matches the Rfam family "tRNA". Rfam says of the family: Transfer RNA (tRNA) molecules are approximately 80 nucleotides in length. RNAcentral also lists the same sequence under 1 other name. The record is from RNAcentral. Lineage: Eukaryota; Fungi; Ascomycota; Sordariomycetes; Xylariales; Xylariaceae.
GGUGUUGUCGUAUAGUGGUUAGUACACUUCGUUGUGGUAAAGUCGAAAGACAACUCAACGGCCCGAAGAAACAUGAGUUCGAUUCUCAUCAACGCCA